AAUUAACUUACUGAUCUCGCCAGGGAUCCAUUUGGGAAGAUGUGCCUUCCCUAACAGCAGCCCAAGACGUCGUAAUCCGCACUAACUGCCUUGUCCCACUGUCCCAGCAUUAAACAGCUCCAGCAGCUGCGAUGGUGGACAGUUAAGAUUAUAUAUGAUGUAAAUAUAUUGUGGGUAUGUCAGCUCCCCCAAACCAUAAAACUUAGUUUAAUGACAUCACGUGCUCACCGAGAGCCAUUCAGGGCUUUUGCUUUGGGCUAUCCACAUAAAUAACCUUCAAAAGUUUUAAACUACUAAAUUCACUUAGAAGCCAUGGGUAUUUCUGCUAAUGUUCUCAGGGAUAGUCAAAGUCUUGGCUCAAAAAGUCCUGGAUUAUUAUUACUAUUGUUAUUAUUUUUCAUCCUCUCUUUUAAAGCACACACACGCACACACGCACUGGAACUUUGGGUCUGUCAUUUUUUUCCCCUUCCCUCGCCCUCCCUUUCUUGUUUGGAGGCCUUUUAAAAGUCCCCACUGUGUUGACACGGAUGACAGUGAAAGGAUGAAGAGGCAAAUUGGUCUUGGAUCUGUGUAGAUGGAGCGUAUGUGUUUCUCGUGCAACGCAUGCAUUUCAAAAAUAUCUUGGUGGAGCCCCCGCUUUCCAGCACUGGAAACCUUCCGGCCUCCUAUAAACGGAACUUCACGUUGGUCAAUCAUUUUCAAGUAACUACGUUGCUUCUGUAUCUGUCCGCACCCCACGCCCCGCACCGCCACUAUAGUUCUAUAAGUUAAGUCUUGGCCAAUUAAAGAGUCCCACCCCCCUCUGAAUCAGCAAAGGUCCAAGGUAACGGGGUUGGGAGGCAGCGGCGGAAACUGACAGCUUGUCCAACUUAGAAGUUAUUUCGAAUUUUCCUUUUCUUUAUCCCUGUUUAUUCCCUGUAAUAUUCAAUGGGAUUUUUCAAACUAUAUGAUGUGUCCCUAUGCUGACAGUACAGGAGGUAAAGAUAUUAUUGGGUGAUUGGGCCAAUUAAGAGUCUCUCCCCCCCCCUCCCUCCCCGAGUUUUCUUCUCCGCUUGCUACUGUGUAAUGUCUAUUACGGUCGGAUAGCCCUGCAAACUUCACCAAAGGAUGUUCAGUUUAGAGAACUUUUAUGGUUGACUUGGAUUACUCCGUUUUAUGGCACGAAAAUGUUCCCUACAAUGACCCCCCUCCCUCCUUCCUUUUUGACAUUCAAGAGAGUUGCGGUCGUGACGUCACGUCGAGUUGUCAUGGAGAAUAGCUACCGGCUUAAAAAUUAUAAAGCGUGAUAUUAUAGAGCAACAUAAAAUAUGGAUAUAAGCAACUACUUACGCCCGCGAAGAGAUUAAACAAAGAAGGAUACGAUUUUAAUACGUUCAGGAAGAAUAAUUCAAUGAUGAGGAAUGGUUGUCAUUAUCUAUGAGUUCUUAUUUCAUUUUAUUGUUUGCACAUGGGGGUGGGGGAGAAGGAAAAAUUAAUCUCAGGACGCCAGGAAGAAGAAGAACAAGAAGGGGGAGAAGAAAAUAAAAUAAAAAAUAAGUCAGGACACAGUAUUAGUUGCCUUAAUGGUGUGUGUGUGUCUUUAAAAAGCCGAUCGCUUACUAUUAAGCUACAUAUUUGGAGAGGCAAUAUUUGUUGCACUUUGGGAAAUGCAAUCCAUUUGCGUAACUUUUAAUGGUGCGACAGUUUAGUAUUUUUGGGUCUGCUUAAAUACACUCAUUUUCUCUCUCUUCUCUCCCCCCCCCCAGGAGUGGGGGCGGGAGUGGCGUCCUCCAGCUGACGGGCCUUAUCUAUUUUUAUGAAUGCAUGAACACUGGAAGUGAUUUAAAACUCAGCCUUCUCAAAUGGGGGGGGAGGGGGGAAAGAGGGAGGGAGAUUGCCGCCUCAAACAGCAACAGAAGAAGCCACCGAGGAACUUCCACCGAAUGUCCAAUUCAACCCCUCAAACAGCCUACUUCCAAAUAGCUUUGAAGAGACCAAACUUUUUAAAAGUUCUAAACUGUCCAACCAGCGCAAAGGGGGGCUUGUUUACGAGGCAGCAACAGGAACGGAGGGGAGGAGACUGUCGUCGCUUGGAAGUAGUAAAAGACCCUGAGAUUCCGGCCUUUAUGGCACAACAGUCGUCCUCUUUCCCCCCGCUCUCUUUCUUCCAAGCAUUUUGACCCUCCAGUCGUGAAAUAGCGUUAUUAUUUUGGUGUGCGCGCGUGUGUGCGCGCCCCCUUAGCUUUCUCGCACCCAUCCUACAAAAGUGCGAGGGGGAGGUGGGAGAGAGAGAGACCAAAUUGCAAAAUUGUUGGCUUGCCAAGUUUCAGUCACUUGGUGGCAGUAUACAAAACAAGUAAACAAAAAGAAAGCAGCAAUUAAAAGAAAGGGACGGUGGGGGAGAGAAAAAUAGGACCCCCUAUUUAAAAGGCUACGUAGAGAGAAAGGUGAGCGCGCGCAUAAGCUCAGGCAACGUCCGUGAUUGCUUAAAUCAAGAAGAACAUGGAAUGUAAAAAAUUGAACCCCGCUCUACCCGAACAACAUGAUAGACUAGGUAGUAAAGUCUCAUUAGUACCGGCGGAGUUUACUUUCAAGGGUUGACCACCGCCGUGGUCUUUUGCUGGAGGAAAACUCCGAUCCUCUCCACGUUUCAUGAAAUCCACUGCAGUUAAAACCAGCAGAACGUCUUUCCUAUUUACUGUACUACGUUUAAGAAGGUCUGGCUCGCCUUAUAGGCCUUUCUGUUUCGAUUUAAAUCCGGACGGUCUAAACUUAUUACCUGCUGUUAAUUUAUUGGGAAAACAGGAGGCGGCCUUGCGCCAAAGUUUGGGUCACUCUAAACGCAGUUCAGCUUGUGUCUAGUGGCAAACGCACAAAUCUCAUCGAAAUCAACGGCAGAAAAUCCAGUGGGUUUUCACGGAGCUGGAUUGCACCCGCUAAGUUUUAUUGCUUUGUGGGUUCCCUUUCUCACGACACGUUUAUUUUAUACAGUCAGGACAGCGGGGUGUACUGCACAACCUCACCCACAGCAACAGUAAAUUGCCCUGUGUUCAUUAGAUGAACCUCAAGAAACGCCAGUGGAUCCAGUAGAUCUGAUCAGGAAUUCCAGGAAUCAAAACUGUCACGUGCUUUCUCGUUUUUUUAAUCCUCUAUAUCCACAACUUCCCUCCACGGUACACGAACAGUUAUGCAGAACAGCAUAUAAAAUAUAAACACAGAACCGACUGCGCCCCCAGAUUUUCUGGCAUCCGACUGAAGAUAACCCAUCCUCAGGGCUGCACAUUUCAGUUCAACCAAAUAAGUGGAUGUGAUGCUGAAAUUAUGAUAUUUCGUUGCACUCUGCAAGAGACCUGUGUCUGCAAUGUUGAAAUGUACAUGCACGCACACAAACGCCCCAUAUCACAUAUGUACGUGAGACAUAUAAUAACAUAUUAUAUCACAUAUUAUAUAUUAGACCACGUAGUCUUUUGACUCACAGGUACCAUUCUUUCGUCCAUCAAUGUCUCUUUCCCCCCCCUCCCCCGCAUUUCCCCCUUCAAAUUGUAACUUUCUCUCCCUUUUGCUUCUGGGACGUGAUUUUAUUUUAUUUUUAACUUUGCCCUUAAGACCCAGUCUCCCCCCCCCCCCUUUUAUAUAUAUAAAAGCCUGUGUAAAGUUUUUGUUUAUUUCAGCCAGCCCCAUUUUUACAAAUAAAAAAUGCAUCACACAAAUGUAUGGACACGAUCCGGGGAAAGUGAGGAACGUUCAACACCUACUGAUUUCAAAGCCAGAGUUAAUUAAGCACGUGCGUAAAUAAUCUCUCAUUGUAACUCAUGGACCUUAAAUACGUUUGCCACUUAAGGGAAGGUCCGGAAAAUACCCGCAUCGCCAUAGGCCCAAGACAGCCUCUCAGUUCCGCAGGCCAAUACAGUGCAAAGCGUGCUAAAAUGUAAAAUGUAGGAAGCCAAGUCCCAGACGCAAUUAAAAUGAAAAUUAAAAACCAGAGGCACAUACAACAAAAUCAUUGAAAAGUGAAGUUCUCUCCCAACUCGCCCUAUCCUUUUCAUAAACAAGGUCAGGGCUUAGCAGCUGCUACUUUGCAGCCAGACCAUAAUUAUUCUAAGCAACGUGGCCGCCUACUUCGGCUAUUUUAUUUUAUGUUUAAAAACUUUGAACACUGAUUUAAGCAAUCCUAAUUGUACGUAUCCCCCCCAACUCUCAGCUGCUCAUGCGCACACCGCCAGCCUCCCUGCACUCUCUCCUAAAUGAAAUGUAAAUUGGUAUAUAUUACACGAUUUCAGGGUGCAUUAUUACGACAGUUACUGAAGUUGUCAUUAAAAAAAAAGUUUCUCUCAUUAUGUUUUUCCCUUUCCCACUCUCACCCCCAGCUCCAGCAGCUGCUUCCCUCCCUCCCCCCCGCCCCGUUUCUCUCUUUCUAUGUUGAAAAAUAGGCACAUAGAUAGUGGCGGUUGCUUUUAUUGUUGUUGAUACGGUUUUGCUGCUGUAAAGAAAUGUAUUAUUGAUAUUGCAGUUGUUGUAAAAUUGUAAUGUUCUUCCAAUUGUUUUUAUUAUGGCACUCGUUCCCCUUAAUAAAUAUAUAUGUGUGUGAUUUAUAUUACCGUGUCACAUUUGUGGUUUUCAAUUUUCACAUUUACUGCCCUGUUUAUGACACGCACCAAGGAUUAAAAGCUACGUGCGGGGGCCAACGUUAACUAUCACAGUAUCGGAUUUUGCUCCUGGAUGUAGUCUGUCUCUCCCCCCC
Molecule: long non-coding RNA, 4720 nt
Organism: Podarcis muralis (Common wall lizard)
Lineage: Eukaryota; Metazoa; Chordata; Lepidosauria; Squamata; Lacertidae
Source: RefSeq, a predicted model, not a curated record